UCUCUCGUAGCUUAGUGGUCAGGGCAUUGGUACGUAAUGCGAAAGGUCUGGGGUUCAAUUCCCGGCGAGGGUG
Molecule: non-coding RNA, 73 nt
Organism: Agrilus planipennis (emerald ash borer)
Lineage: Eukaryota; Metazoa; Arthropoda; Insecta; Coleoptera; Buprestidae
Source: Rfam